This 508-nucleotide ribosomal RNA is filed under the name uncultured bacterium. RNAcentral's name for it is "partial 16S ribosomal RNA". It matches the Rfam family "Bacterial small subunit ribosomal RNA", at positions 28 to 523 of the family's 1533-position model. The record is from RNAcentral.
GAUGAACGCUAGCUACAGGCUUAACACAUGCAAGUCGAGGGGAAACGAUAGAGAAAGCUUGCUUUUUCUAGGCGUCGACCGGCGCACGGGUGAGUAACGCGUAUCCAACCUGCCCACCACUUGGGAAUAACCUUGCGAAAGUAAGACUAAUACCCAAUGAUAUCUCUAGAAGACAUCUGAAGGAGAUUAAAGAUUUAUCGGUGAUGGUUGGGGAUGCGUCUGAUUAGCUUGGUGGCGGGGUAACGGCCCACCAAGGCGACGAUCAGUAGGGGUUCUGAGAGGAAGGUCCCCCACAUUGGAACUGAGACACGGUCCAAACUCCUACGGGAGGCAGCAGUGAGGAAUAUUGGUCAAUGGGCGAGAGCCUGAACCAGCCAAGUAGCGUGCAGGAUGACGGCCCUAUGGGUUGUAAACUGCUUUUAUAAGGGAAUAAAGUGAGCCUCGUGAGGCUUUUUGCAUGUACCUUAUGAAUAAGGACCGGCUAAUUCCGUGCCAGCCGCCGCAGUAA